This 330-nucleotide ribosomal RNA is filed under the name uncultured bacterium. Its description in RNAcentral is "bacterial SSU rRNA". It matches the Rfam family "Bacterial small subunit ribosomal RNA", at positions 66 to 422 of the family's 1533-position model. The record is from RNAcentral.
GCGGGCGUAGCAAUACGUCAGCGGCAGACGGGUGAGUAACGCGUGGGAACAUACCUUUUGGUUCGGAACAACACAGGGAAACUUGUGCUAAUACCGGAUAAGCCCUUACGGGGAAAGAUUUAUCGCCGAAAGAUUGGCCCGCGUCUGAUUAGCUAGUUGGUGAGGUAACGGCUCACCAAGGCGACGAUCAGUAGCUGGUCUGAGAGGAUGAUCAGCCACAUUGGGACUGAGACACGGCCCAAACUCCUACGGGAGGCAGCAGUGGGGAAUAUUGGACAAUGGGCGAAAGCCUGAUCCAGCCAUGUCGCGUGAGUGAUGAAGGCCCUAGGG